CAUCGUGAGGUGGAAUCUGAAGGAAGCCUAAGGCAAAUUCUCGGUCUGAGGAAUACGAACUAUAUAUGAGGCUUGCUAAGGACGGACGAGUUUGCAAAACAAAGUCCAACACUACCCGAAUCCCUAGGAGUAAAUAUAGCAGAUAUGUGAGAAGAAGGUUGUU
This 163-nucleotide non-coding RNA is filed under the name uncultured Clostridium sp. Lineage: Bacteria; Bacillati; Bacillota; Clostridia; Eubacteriales; Clostridiaceae. The record is from RNAcentral.